Molecule: long non-coding RNA, 2857 nt
Organism: Populus euphratica (Euphrates poplar)
Lineage: Eukaryota; Viridiplantae; Streptophyta; Magnoliopsida; Malpighiales; Salicaceae
Exons: 4
Source: RefSeq, a predicted model, not a curated record
AGGCUAACCCGACCAAUUUGGAUAAGCAGAGGACACUCCUGUGUCAGCCGGCAAGGUUCAUGUACUUCAAUCACCUCGUACAUGUACUUCAAUCGCCUCGUGUGGUUGCCAAGUUCUCAGAGGCAGAUGAUAAUGGAGAAAAACAUAUUAUACCGUGUAGAGCUAUAUUAGGUAAUGUUGAGAAAGUAGUUACAGCGUCUCAACAGUAUUAUCCUUCUGGUAUUGAGUUCUAUACUGGUGCUUAUGAUCCCAAGAAUCAUCCCAAGUGUUAGGUUGUUUGGUCGAGUGUUAUGAACAGGCAUAUUAUCCCUGAGUGUGUUGUGAGCUUCAAAUCUUCUAUUAACGUGCAAGGCUGGCAAGUUGACCAAAAAUAUUUUCCUGAGUGUUGCAGGGGAUGUUGUUCUGCUAUCUUCUAACUGGGACAUUCGUAGCUUGGAAUAUGGUUUUCUGGGUUUUUUUUUUUUGGUGGAUAGAUAAGUGCUACUUUCAGAAAGGCGUAUCAAAAUGAUAGAACCACCAGCGAUUUCAUUUCACAGGAUUAUCAUAGAUUAGUGAUGAAAGAUUAUCAAGUGAAACUUCAAGAAUUACUUGAUGGUUUUUUCCCCCCCUCAAAUAUAGAGCAGCAACUUUUUUUAGAUAAAUGGUAAAUAUGCUUGCAAUUUCUUUUGGGUUAUUUCAAUAUAUCACUGAUUUUUUUGGUGGUCUCUGACAAUUUCAAACCUAAGGAAUUGCACAAGGCUGCUAUUAUGAUGUUGAAAAUGUGAUCCUGUAUUGUUAAUUGCAUACUAGUGUAUGCAAAGAAAGAUUCUGGAGGCGCAACAUCCAGUUUCUGUGUACAAGAAUAAUGUUUGUUUCAGAAUGCCUUGAUGAAUCUCUCUGCUCUAUAUUGCGUUACAAUUUUACUGAGGGCUUGGCGUGAGUUUGCAUCAAUUGCAUACAUUAUCAUAUGCAGGUGUUGUUUUGACAUGGUGUUGAGCAAAAUUUGAUUAAUAAUUUCUAGUACAACUAUGAUGAACAUGAAUUUAAACAUGAUCACCCUUGUUUAUAUUUAUUUGAGAUCUUUAUUUUAUUGAAAGAAUAUCUUCCACUUUGGAAAUCCUAUUAGUCAUUAUAAACUACCUUUUCCAUUAUGACUUGCAUUUAUGUGCUGGUGCUUUCAAGUUGUGAUAUCUGGGAAGAAGCGAGAUAUGAAUUACUGAUUGUGUAGUUGCCAGCGAAUUACAGCUUGCUAUUAUUUUUUGUCAUUGUAUGAAGAUUCAGUUGAACUGUGAAUUUUAUUUUGUGAGACUUUUGUUAAGAAGGAUAGAUGCUUUGCAUCAAAAAGCGAUUCUGCAAGUGAGUUGAAUGUUGUGAAAUUAUGUGGAUGAGUGGGCUCUCUCAUUGUUUAAAGAUAAUUUAUCUGCACUAAGAAAUGUUGAUUUUGGUUCUGUGAUAGCCAGAAACUAAAUUGGGAGGUAUUCAUUUUAAGAGAGCAAGAUAUAUCCAGUGCUGUAUUUGCUCAGCAAGUUAGCAUAGGCCUAACGAGCUUCCAGCGCCUAGAAUUCUCAAACACGGAAUGGUAUCAGAGGUGAAUACAAUGAGCUGAACCGUCAAUUUCUUUUUGUUGUGUUCAGAUCAUGAGAAAGGCAAGGAUGGAUUGUUCUGUUUUGCCUGUCUUUGCUUCAUCGUAGCUCUGGUAGCUAGAUUUCUGCUCCUUCAGAGCUGACUGUUGAUAAUGACUUCAACUGUAUUUGGGGAAGUCAUACUUUCAAGUUCAAUACAUGCUUCCUUUAAUAUAUGAGCAUUACUUAAGGAUGGAUUGUUCUGUUUUGCCUGUCUUUGCUUCAUCGUAGCUCUGGUAAUGAGAUUUCUGUUUACAGAGCUGACUGUUGAUAAUGACUUCAACUGUAUUUUGGGCAAGUCAUACUUUCAUGUUCGAUACAUGAUUCCUUUAAUAUAUGAGCAUUACUUCAUUUUAUCCAAAGCUUGGCAUUUUGGAGAGUGUGUUCAAAGUGGCACUUAUCGUGGUUUAUAUGUUCUGGUCAGAGAGAAAAGUCACAGCAGGUUGCUGGGAUGAGAUGCUGCCUUCCACAGUUAACUCAAUUGAAGUGCUUCUUUCAGUUUUUUGUUUUAUUAGGUAGCAUUUAGGACUACAGGCUAUGACAUGCAUAACCCAAAUUUUGCAUUUCUGAAUUAACUGGAGGUAGCAAGGAUUAGGUGAUGUCCCUAAGAUUCAAGAGGAAUUAACUGUUGUGUGUUGUGGUAUCGUGUUUCCCUUCUAUGAGAUUUUAUAUCUUAGCAACAAUACUUUUACAGGCUUCUUAUAUCUAGUUGUCUGUUACCCUUCUACUGAAACUAGGAGAUUUGAAAUGAUUUCUGAUCCAUUUACCUGUGGUAGUCUUUGAGGAUCUUUGGAAAACUUUAUUAGCGUGAAACAGUAGACUUCAAAGUUUUAUACAUGCGGUGAUGUGACUGCAUGAUCUGUUUUUGAAUAAUCUAUAAAAUCUAUUUAACUGUACAUAACAACUUCAACUCUAUGCUUUUGUUUUACAAGUUUCUAUGGCGUUGCAGAGUUAAGAUGAUAGAGGAUACUAUUGACUCCCUUCCCUUCGUCAUGUCUGCUGAGACAUUAUUUUAGUGGCUGCCCUGUAGCUGACUGGGCUAGCUGGCAUGCAUCAACUGGUGUUUAAGGGCUAGUGGAGUUAAUUGUCAGGGGUUCCACUGACACGAAAUUGGAGCAAUGGAGUCCAAAAACUCUCUUCCAAAGUCCUCUUGGGAAACUUCUGCUCCUUUUUAUAAUUUUCGUGAAGUUUUCUUUUUUUUUUUUGAAAAAACAACAUUUUUGCAGAAAGUUGAAGCAUCUGGUUAGUUUACACAA